RNAcentral lists this ribosomal RNA (497 nucleotides) under uncultured bacterium. RNAcentral's name for it is "partial 16S ribosomal RNA". It matches the Rfam family "Bacterial small subunit ribosomal RNA", at positions 28 to 507 of the family's 1533-position model. The record is from RNAcentral.
GAUGAACGCUGGCGGCGUGCCUAAUACAUGCAAGUCGAGCGAACAGACGAGGAGCUUGCUCCUCUGACGUUAGCGGCGGACGGGUGAGUAACACGUGGAUACCCUACCUAUAAGACUGGGAUAACUUCGGGAAACCGGAGCUAAUACCGGAUAAUAUAUUGAACCGCAUGGUUCAAUAGUGAAAGACGGUUUUGCUGUCACUUAUAGAUGGAUCCGCGCCGCAUUAGCGAGUUGGUAAGGUAACGGCUUACCAAGGCAACGAUGCGUAGCCGACCUGAGAGGGUGAUCGGCCACCCUGGAACUGAGACACGGUCCAGACUCCUACGGGAGGCAGCAGUAGGGAAUCUUCCGCAAUGGGCGAAAGCUUGACGGAGCAACGCCGCGUGAGUGAUGAAGGUCUUCGGAUCGUAAAACUCUGUUAUUAGGGAAGAACAAAUGUGUAAGUAACUAUGCACGUCUUGACGGUACCUAAUCAGAAAGCCACGGCUAACUACGUG